Long non-coding RNA from Panicum virgatum (switchgrass), 684 nucleotides. RefSeq lists it as uncharacterized. The transcript is spliced from 3 exons. The record is from RefSeq and is a predicted model, not a curated record. Lineage: Eukaryota; Viridiplantae; Streptophyta; Magnoliopsida; Poales; Poaceae.
UUGAAGGUGAGAGAGGUCAUAAUAUUUAUAUGGUAAGUUUGCAAAAAAUAUUUUUGUUUCUGCAAAUAUAUCCUAUCCUAAAAUCUGAUUGAGUACAGAUGAAUGAUAUCCAUGUUUUUGUUUAGCUCAUUAUUUUUCACCUAUUUGUAACUAACCUUUGUGGUUACGUAGGUAGUAUACAAAUAGAUCUUUUGGCUUUGUUCCUGGUAAUGCAACUUGCCCUCGGUUUAAUUCUUUGGCUUUUUUCCUGCAAGGUUGAAUGAAUCUAUGGUGAGUUGGUGACUGGUGUUGAUUCUGUGGCUUUGACCCAUCCUUCAUCUCAGGUUGCAGCCCGUCUUCCCCACCAUCCACUUCCUUACAAUGUCCACGUGAAUCACCAUCUGCUGUUGCUGCUGUCCUGUCCAUGUCUGUAUCACGAAUUCGGCUGAAAGGUCAUGUGAUUACUUUCUGAAAAGUAGACCACUGUGAUGGAGACUGGAGAUGGUUAACUUCUGCUACCUACAACCAUUGCCGCCUAAUUCAUGGACAAUGCACACCAUAUGCUCUUGGCUUGCCCCAGCAACUUUUUGAUUAAACUAACCAAAUAAUCAUAGGGAGAUUCCUGCAGAAAAGAAUAGAAGUGACCAUAUGCGUCUUAGUUUUGAAACUGUUAGAGCCACAAACUUUUAAUUUGUAUGUAUUAUU